GGUCGCGUAGCUCAGUUGGUUAGAGCAUCUGUCUUACACACAGAAUGUCGCAGGUUCGAGUCCUGUCGCGACCA
Molecule: transfer RNA, 74 nt
Filed under: Planctomicrobium piriforme
Lineage: Bacteria; Pseudomonadati; Planctomycetota; Planctomycetia; Planctomycetales; Planctomycetaceae
Also listed under: 3 other names
Rfam family: tRNA
About the family: Transfer RNA (tRNA) molecules are approximately 80 nucleotides in length.
Source: Rfam by way of RNAcentral